UCGUCGCAAGUCAAAGCCGUGAAGGUUAUGGAGUCUUCUCCUUUGUUUCUUGUUUUACAAGUAACGUUUACAACUUAAAAACGUAAGGUUCAUGCGUAGGAAAUAAUCAUGGAACCUUGGAUAUUAAUUGAUUGACAAGAAACCCAUUCAAAAGUCUAGCCCACCGAGUCUUGUUGCAUACAGUUUUUGGGAGGUCAUGAUCCAUCUCUGAUCUUGGCUGGCUAAGGUGAGACUGACGAGUAUAUGAUAUUUGGAUGGAUUGGUGCUACUGGGUUUUUUAUUCGGAUUUUUAUUUGGGUUUAGGGUGAGUGGAGUCGUGUAUAUGGGCUAUUGUGUUAUGAUAUAUUGUUGGUGGCACGCUGUUCUCCAGAUAGGAGGUAACGGGUGUCACAAUUUGAUGCUGACUUUUACAUAUAAUUUUUCACUCCAUUCUGACAUGA
Long non-coding RNA from Brassica rapa (field mustard), 440 nucleotides. RefSeq lists it as uncharacterized. The record is from RefSeq and is a predicted model, not a curated record. Lineage: Eukaryota; Viridiplantae; Streptophyta; Magnoliopsida; Brassicales; Brassicaceae.